GGGCCCAUAGCUCAGUUGGCUAGAGCGCCACGUUGACAUCGUGGAGGUCACUGGUUCGAGUCCAGUUGGGCCCACCA
This 77-nucleotide transfer RNA is filed under the name Planctomycetota bacterium. Its description in RNAcentral is "Planctomycetes bacterium tRNA-Val". It matches the Rfam family "tRNA". From Rfam's summary of the family: Transfer RNA (tRNA) molecules are approximately 80 nucleotides in length. Their secondary structure includes four short double-helical elements and three loops (D, anti-codon, and T loops). Lineage: Bacteria; Pseudomonadati; Planctomycetota. The record is from RNAcentral.